RNAcentral lists this ribosomal RNA (533 nucleotides) under Italochrysa japonica. RNAcentral's name for it is "partial large subunit ribosomal RNA". It matches the Rfam family "Bacterial large subunit ribosomal RNA", at positions 1808 to 2609 of the family's 2925-position model. The record is from RNAcentral. Lineage: Eukaryota; Metazoa; Arthropoda; Insecta; Neuroptera; Chrysopidae.
CAAAAACAUGUCUUUUUGUUAAAAAUAAAAAGUCUAACCUGCCCACUGAUAAAAUAUUGAAGGGCCGCGGUAUAUUGACUGUGCAAAGGUAGCAUAAUCAUUUGUCUCUUAAUUGGAGGCUGGAAUGAAUGGUUGAAUGAAAUAUUAACUGUCUCAAUUUUAAAAAAAUAAAAAUUUAAUUUUUAAGUCAAAAAGCUUAAAUGUUUUUAGAGGACGAGAAGACCCUAUAGAUCUUUAUAUUUAUUUGAAUAUUAUAAUAUAGAAAAAUAAUUAAUAAUAUUUAAAUAAAUAUUUUAUUGGGGUGAUAGGAAAAUUUAAAAAACUUUUUUUAUUGUAAAACAUAGAUUUAUGAAUAUUUGAUCCAUUAUUUAUGAUUAUAAGAUUAAGUUACCUUAGGGAUAACAGCGUAAUUUUUUUAAAGAGUUCAUAUCGAUAAAAAAGAUUACGACCUCGAUGUUGAAUUAAAGUUAUUUUUAGAUGUAGCAGUUUAAAAUUUAGGUCUGUUCGACCUUUAAAUCUUUACAUGAUCUGAG